This is a long non-coding RNA of Macadamia integrifolia, 1242 nucleotides long. RefSeq lists it as uncharacterized. The record is from RefSeq and is a predicted model, not a curated record. Lineage: Eukaryota; Viridiplantae; Streptophyta; Magnoliopsida; Proteales; Proteaceae. The transcript has 3 exons.
UAGGUAGCAAAUGGAUUUAAUUUUUUGAUGAUACGUUUUGAUUGAGAACUUGCUAUUCCUCUUUGGUUUUAUGACUUGUCAGUUUUCAUCUGUUGUGGUUGCAUGCUCAAUCAGAGUUCCUAGCUAAAUUACUCCUUUUCCUCUUUUUUUUUUUCCUUUGAUGGUUGAAUCUCAUGGUUUCCUUGUUGAAUAAAUGUUGUCCCAUACUGCCCUUUGUUUCAGGUUGUAGUCGUUAGACUUUGUCCAUUUUAAUUCAAUAAAAACUGGUUGCUGGUGUCUUCUUUCCCUUAUGUUCUCAUACAUUAAUCCUUGAGGCAUGUCUAAUAAUUUUUUCCUGUGGAAGCACACAUUUCUCUGAGGUCUGAGUUUCCUUUGAGUUCAGAAUGUUGUCGAUAAUAUAGUGCAAUUACAUUCUUUGUGUUAAUCUUAGUUAGCUUAACACAAUCUUCUUCAUUGCCAUGCAUGUGUUUUAAGUCAUUGAAUUGGCUUUGACAUGUGCUAUAUCAUAUUAUGAAGUGAUUGGUUCCCUUUGGAAAUAAGAUGGUAAGUUUGUUUCGAACUUAGGCUGAUGCACCUUGCUAUCAAUUUGGUAAUAGUACUGUUUUGAUACAUGUUUUAUAAUAUGUGUUACUAACCAAUCUUCAUGGUCUUCUUAUCCUUCAAUUGAGUUCCAUCGCUACUAUCUCAUCUCUUUUUAUUUAUAUUUUAAUUUAAUUCAUUUUUCGGAUGAUUAUACCUAGGCAAGAUGAGGCGAUGGGAUGUCCAGCUCAUCACUUCCUUAUACAUGUUGAAGCUUAUUAGAGAAUCAAUGCAAUCUCGGUGGACUAUUCAAUUUCCUUGGAAUGGGUGGUCUCGGCAACUUGGGGCUGAACCGGAGCGAACUGACGCAAGUACCAUAUGGAACAUGGUAGCAAGAGUGACCUUGAACUUGGGUUGGCCUGACAUGAUCGAGUGGGUACCAAGUGCAAUAUGUGCACCCAAUCCUUGCACUUGCACUUGCACGCACCAUGGGGCCAUGUACAAGAAGUAAGGGUACAUGCUAGUAAUUUUGGGUGCAUAUGCAUUUUAAUUAUAAGAAUGAGUUUGUCCCCAUUGAAGUCCAAGUGGAACAUUAGCAAUGGGCUGACUAGAAUGGUAUACCCACCUGAGAAUACUCAUCUGAAAUAUACCCACUUGCAUAGUUUUUAAGGCGCUGGUGCGACUAAGGCGUUUGAGGGUUUGUCGGAGCGCCUUAGCAAUAAG